Non-coding RNA from Cyanistes caeruleus (blue tit), 924 nucleotides. The record is from RefSeq and is a predicted model, not a curated record. Lineage: Eukaryota; Metazoa; Chordata; Aves; Passeriformes; Paridae.
GAAGGGUUCCCCUCAUGCCCGUCUCCAGCAAGGCGCUCAGCGGAGCCUUUGCCUAAAUUCAGGGGGCAGCAGACACUGACCGCUUUUGCCUAGUCUCGUGUAAUUUGAUUCUAAGCUCCUUUUGCCCCCACCACGCAGCUCCAUGGAAACCCAUCACUUUCCACGCCGGCCCUUGUCAGCAGAGGAAUGAGUAAAUGAGGAGGGAGCAAAAAGCUUUAGCUGCACAUCUAGCAUCAGCAUGAACUGCAAAAGCAACAGAGUACCUAUGUCUGACAGUGGUUCUUUAGAAUUUCCUCUAGAGACUCAGCCUGGAGACAAGACCACCAGAAGGAUGACAAUGCCUUUUGGGAAAACAAAACCAGUAGACAUUGGUAUUUUCUUGAACAGUCAUCUUCUUAAUGUUGAUAGCAAUUUAAAUCAAGGCUUUCCAGGUGCAACGGCAAGAAGUUAGCAUUUCUUCAAGCUCAUGACUGGGCAUCUUUCUGAAAAAGGAAAACCACAAGCAUGUGAUGGAAAUACAGCCAUACCUUGCUAAAUAAUGUGAAGCAUGGCAGUCAUAGCUGUUCAGUUCUUCCUGCUCAGCAUUGCAACAGUAGGAAAAACCUGAUGAGGAGAGAAGCUGCCACGUGGUGAAUUAUCUGUUCUGUGAAAUUCUGAAAUAAAUGAAUUACACUUUUCCUAGCAGUUAGACCAUUCCUUAAGAAAAUAAAAAAAAACGAAGUAUCAGACACAGCCAAAUGCGUCAGGCAGAUGUGGCUGGAGAAGCUACCUGGGGUGCCAGCUGGAUUUAUACUUGCAUUCUUGGAGAGACUGAAGACACGAAUGGCUGCUUUGAGUUUAAUCUGUGUUAUUUCCUGCCUGCUGGCGUUGCUUACAGGACAUUUGCUGUCCACUCUGUUAGCCCUUCAAAUGUUGUUUUUUGAG